RNAcentral lists this transfer RNA (76 nucleotides) under Candidatus Magnetobacterium bavaricum. Its description in RNAcentral is "tRNA-Ala". It matches the Rfam family "tRNA". Rfam says of the family: Transfer RNA (tRNA) molecules are approximately 80 nucleotides in length. Their secondary structure includes four short double-helical elements and three loops (D, anti-codon, and T loops). The record is from RNAcentral. Lineage: Bacteria; Pseudomonadati; Nitrospirota; Thermodesulfovibrionia; Thermodesulfovibrionales; Magnetobacteriaceae (SeqCode).
GGGCUGUAGCUCAGUUGGGAGAGCGCUUGAAUGGCAUUCAAGAGGUCGUCGGUUCGAUCCCGAUCAGCUCCACCAA